UACGUAGGGUGCAAGCGUUGUCCGGAAUUAUUGGGCGUAAAGAGCUCGUAGGCGGUUUGUCGCGUCGGAUGUGAAAACCCGGGGCUCAACCCCGGGCCUGCAUUCGAUACGGGCAGACUAGAGUUCGGUAGGGGAGUCUGGAAUUCCUGGUGUAGCGGUGAAAUGCGCAGAUAUCAGGAGGAACACCGGUGGCGAAGGCGGGUCUCUGGGCCGAUACUGACGCUGAGGAGCGAAAGCGUGGGGAGCGAACAGG
This 253-nucleotide ribosomal RNA is filed under the name uncultured bacterium. RNAcentral's name for it is "partial 16S ribosomal RNA". It matches the Rfam family "Bacterial small subunit ribosomal RNA", at positions 524 to 776 of the family's 1533-position model. The record is from RNAcentral.